UACGAAGGGGGCUAGCGUUGCUCGGAAUCACUGGGCGUAAAGCGUGCGUAGACGGUUAUUUAAGUCGGGUGUGAAAGCCCCGGGCUCAACCUGGGAAUUGCAUUCGAGACUGAAUAGCUAGGGUACGGUAGAGGGAAGCGGAAUUUCCGGUGUAGCGGUGAAAUGCGUAGAUAUCGGAAGGAACAUCAGUGGCGAAAGCGGCUUCCUGGACCAGUACCGACGUUCAGGCACGAAAGCGUGGGGAGCAAACAGG
This 253-nucleotide ribosomal RNA is filed under the name uncultured bacterium. Its description in RNAcentral is "partial 16S ribosomal RNA". It matches the Rfam family "Bacterial small subunit ribosomal RNA", at positions 524 to 776 of the family's 1533-position model. The record is from RNAcentral.